Long non-coding RNA from Manis pentadactyla (Chinese pangolin), 676 nucleotides. RefSeq lists it as uncharacterized. NCBI's taxonomy places the organism in Eukaryota, Metazoa, Chordata, Mammalia, Pholidota, Manidae. The record is from RefSeq and is a predicted model, not a curated record. The transcript has 3 exons.
AGGGAGAUUGGGCUGUUCAUUCUCCAGUUUGACAAGCUGAAUAUUGUCAGGCAGACGUCUUCAUUAAGUCUGUGUAGGAAGAGGGAAGAGCAUCAAAGGGAAGAAGUGGACAGUUUUCCUCCAGGUCCUCUGGAGAGGUGGUUAUACAUCCUGCAGGAUGAUCUAGUUGGAAAAAAAAUAUUGCUUACAGAAAAUGGAAGAGAGAGAGAAAAAAAAGAGACAAGAUACCACAUCAGUCUUCUGGAACUGUCACACCAGUCCGCAGACGGUAUCACCCUCAACAACCUUAGCAGCUUUGGAAAGUUCUAAGAGGCCCUUGUCUCACCUCCUGGGGACGUUCCCUGGAGCUGAAGAGGAGCAGCUGAUCCUACGUGAAUCCAACAGCAGGCCAAGUGUGUGCAGCAUGUCCUGCCUGCUACGUCCUGUGGCUAUUCAACCAAUCUCUAAAAUGUCUCUAGAAUCCGUUUCCUCUCCUGACUUCUGUUCAUGCUUCGAUCACUACCUUGGUUUGGACCCUUUGUCACCCCUUGUAUGGGUUCCUUUAACAGUCUAACUAAUGUCUUUUUUCCUGCCUUUUAUGUCUCCUUUCUGUGAUCUUGCCUCCUGCCCUGCAGUCAGAAUGAGCUCUCUGAAAUGUAAAUACAAUCGUUUAACUUCCCUAAUUAAAGAUUUUAUG